This 504-nucleotide ribosomal RNA is filed under the name Lacticaseibacillus rhamnosus. RNAcentral's name for it is "bacterial SSU rRNA". It matches the Rfam family "Bacterial small subunit ribosomal RNA", at positions 56 to 524 of the family's 1533-position model. The record is from RNAcentral. Lineage: Bacteria; Bacillati; Bacillota; Bacilli; Lactobacillales; Lactobacillaceae.
UGCAGUCGAACGAGUUCUGAUUAUUGAAAGGUGCUUGCAUCUUGAUUUAAUUUUGAACGAGUGGCGGACGGGUGAGUAACACGUGGGUAACCUGCCCUUAAGUGGGGGAUAACAUUUGGAAACAGAUGCUAAUACCGCAUAAAUCCAAGAACCGCAUGGUUCUUGGCUGAAAGAUGGCGUAAGCUAUCGCUUUUGGAUGGACCCGCGGCGUAUUAGCUAGUUGGUGAGGUAACGGCUCACCAAGGCAAUGAUACGUAGCCGAACUGAGAGGUUGAUCGGCCACAUUGGGACUGAGACACGGCCCAAACUCCUACGGGAGGCAGCAGUAGGGAAUCUUCCACAAUGGACGCAAGUCUGAUGGAGCAACGCCGCGUGAGUGAAGAAGGCUUUCGGGUCGUAAAACUCUGUUGUUGGAGAAGAAUGGUCGGCAGAGUAACUGUUGUCGGCGUGACGGUAUCCAACCAGAAAGCCACGGCUAACUACGUGCCAGCAGCGGGCGGGUAA